This 468-nucleotide ribosomal RNA is filed under the name uncultured bacterium. RNAcentral's name for it is "partial 16S ribosomal RNA". It matches the Rfam family "Bacterial small subunit ribosomal RNA", at positions 28 to 507 of the family's 1533-position model. The record is from RNAcentral.
GACGAACGCUGGCGGCGUGCUUAACACAUGCAAGUCGAACGGAAAGGCCCUGCUUUUGUGGGGUGCUCGAGUGGCGAACGGGUGAGUAACACGUGAGUAACCUGCCCUUUACUUUGGGAUAACUUCAGGAAACUGGGGCUAAUACCGGAUAGGAGCUCCUGCUGCAUGGUGGGGGUUGGAAAGUUUCGGCGGUUGGGGAUGGACUCGCGGCUUAUCAGCUUGUUGGUGGGGUAGUGGCUUACCAAGGCUUUGACGGGUAGCCGGCCUGAGAGGGUGACCGGCCACAUUGGGACUGAGAUACGGCCCAGACUCCUACGGGAGGAAGCAGUGGGGAAUAUUGCACAAUGGGCGGAAGCCUGAUGCAGCAACGCCGCGUGCGGGAUGACGGCCUUCGGGUUGUAAACCGCUUUCGCCUGUGACGAAGCGUGAGUGACGGUAAUGGGUAAAGAAGCACCGGCUAACUACGUG